GAAUCUUGCGCAAUGGGCGAAAGCCUGACGCAGCGACGCCGCAUGCGGGAAGAAGGCCUUCGGGUUGUAAACCGCUUUCAGGAGGGACGAAGCCACUCGGGUUAAUAGCCCAGAGGGUGACGGUACCUCCAGAAGAAGCACCGGCCAACUACGUGCCAGCAGCCGCGGUAACACGUAGGGUGCAAGCGUUAUCCGGAUUCAUUGGGCGUAAAGAGCUCGUAGGCGGCUUAGCAAGUCGGAUGUGAAAACUCCAGGCUUAACCUGGAGACGCCAUUCGAUACUGCUAUGGCUAGAGUCCGGUAGGGGAGCACGGAAUUCCUGGUGUAGCGGUGAAAUGCGCAGAUAUCAGGAGGAACACCGGUGGCGAAGGCGGUGCUCUGGGCCGGAACUGACGCUGAGGAGCGAAAGCGUGGGUAGCAAAC
RNAcentral lists this ribosomal RNA (422 nucleotides) under uncultured bacterium. Its description in RNAcentral is "bacterial SSU rRNA". It matches the Rfam family "Bacterial small subunit ribosomal RNA", at positions 359 to 773 of the family's 1533-position model. The record is from RNAcentral.